GAGUUUGAUCAUGGCUCAGAUUGAACGCUGGCGGCAUGCCUUACACAUGCAAGUCGAACGGCAGCACGGGAGCUUGCUCCUGGUGGCGAGUGGCGAACGGGUGAGUAAUGCAUCGGAACGUAUCCUGGAGUGGGGGAUAACGUAGCGAAAGUUACGCUAAUACCGCAUAUUCUGUGAGCAGGAAAGCGGGGGACCUUCGGGCCUCGCGCUCUUGGAGCGGCCGAUGUCGGAUUAGCUAGUUGGUGAGGUAAAGGCUCACCAAGGCGACGAUCCGUAGCAGGUCUGAGAGGAUGAUCUGCCACACUGGAACUGAGACACGGUCCAGACUCCUACGGAGGCAGCAGUGGGGAAUUUUGGACAAUGGGGGCAACCCUGAUCCAGCCAUGCCGCGUGAGUGAAGAAGGCC
This 406-nucleotide ribosomal RNA is filed under the name bacterium enrichment culture clone ALO1_GLFRUDD03FLPYS. Its description in RNAcentral is "bacterial SSU rRNA". It matches the Rfam family "Bacterial small subunit ribosomal RNA", at positions 9 to 416 of the family's 1533-position model. RNAcentral also lists the same sequence under 2 other names. The record is from RNAcentral.